Molecule: ribosomal RNA, 426 nt
Filed under: uncultured bacterium
Lineage: Bacteria
Description: bacterial SSU rRNA
Rfam family: Bacterial small subunit ribosomal RNA
Source: RNAcentral
GCAUAACGCGAAGAACCUUACCCACCUUUGACAUGUACGGAAUCCUUUAGAGAUAGAGGAGUGCUCGAAAGAGAGCCGUAACACAGGUGCUGCAUGGCUGUCGUCAGCUCGUGUCGUGAGAUGUUGGGUUAAGUCCCGCAACGAGCGCAACCCUUGCCAUUAGUUGCUACAUUUAGUUGAGCACUCUAAUGGGACUGCCGGUGACAAACCGGAGGAGGGUGGGGAUGACGUCAAGUCCUCAUGGCCCUUAUAGGUGGGGCUACACACGUCAUACAAUGGCUGGUACAAAGGGUUGCCAACCCGCGAGGGGGAGCUAAUCCCAUAAAGCCAGUCGUAGUCCGGAUCGCAGUCUGCAACUCGACUGCGUGAAGUCGGAAUCGCUAGUAAUCGUGGAUCAGAAUGUCGCGGUGAAUACGUUCCCGGGUC